Molecule: unclassified non-coding RNA, 378 nt
Filed under: uncultured Gammaproteobacteria bacterium
Lineage: Bacteria; Pseudomonadati; Pseudomonadota; Gammaproteobacteria
Description: contains 16S-23S intergenic spacer region
Source: RNAcentral
UCCGGUUUGUCACCGGCAGUCUCACUAGAGUGCCCAACUGAAUGUGGCAACUAAUGACAAGGGUUGCGCUCGUUGCGGGACUUAACCCAACAUCUCACGACACGAGCUGACGACAGCCAUGCAGCACCUGUGUUCCCGUUCUCUUUCGAGCACUCCCCGAUCUCUCGGGGAUUUCUGCCAUGUCAAGGGUAGGUAAGGUUUUUCGCGUUGCAUCGAAUUAAUCCACAUCAUCCACCGCUUGUGCGGAUCCCCGUCAAUUCCUUUGAGUUUUAAUCUUGCGACCGUACUCCCCAGGCGGAUGACUUCACGCGUUAGCUGCGUUACUAAAGGAUUUAACUCCUCCAACAACUAGUCAUCAUCGUUUAGGGCGUGGACUAC